GCCUACAGCCAUGCCACCAUGAACGUGCCCGAUAUCAUCUGAUCUCAGAAGGUAAGCAGGGUCGAGCCUGGUUAGUUCUUAGAUGGGAGACUACCUUGGAACCUUGGAAUACAAGGUGCUGUAGGCG
Pteropus vampyrus (large flying fox) is the source of this 127-nucleotide ribosomal RNA. The record is from Ensembl. NCBI's taxonomy places the organism in Eukaryota, Metazoa, Chordata, Mammalia, Chiroptera, Pteropodidae.